CCCUAUUAUCAUAUCUCGACUCACACGUCGAUGAAGAACGUAUAUAGCAAAAUGUGAUAUUUGGCGUGAAUUGUAGAAUCCCGUAAACUAUCAAGCCUUUGACCGCAAGUUACGCCCCAAAUCAUUAGACAUAAAAUAUGUUUGCCUAGACGUCA
Non-coding RNA from Nicotiana sylvestris (wood tobacco), 155 nucleotides. The record is from Rfam. NCBI's taxonomy places the organism in Eukaryota, Viridiplantae, Streptophyta, Magnoliopsida, Solanales, Solanaceae.